Molecule: ribosomal RNA, 979 nt
Filed under: Pyractomena palustris
Lineage: Eukaryota; Metazoa; Arthropoda; Insecta; Coleoptera; Lampyridae
Description: partial 16S ribosomal RNA
Source: RNAcentral
GUCGAACAGACUUAAAAUUUAAGCUUCUACACCUAAAUUAAAUUUUAAUCCAACAUCGAGGUAGCAAUCUUCUUUUUUGAUAAGAACUCUAAAAGAAAUUACUCUGUUAUCCCCAAGGUAACUUUAUUUAAAAUUAGAAAAAUAGAUUUUUUAUUCAUAAAUCAAUGAUUUAAAUUAAAAAAGUUAAUUAAAUUUUUUAGUCACCCCAACUAAUUUUUCUCAAAUUAAAAUAAUUCUAAAUAAAAAGAAAAAAUAAAACUCUAUGGGGUCUUCUCGUCUUUUAUAGUUAUUUAAGCUUUUUAACUUAAAAAUUAAAUUCAUAAAAAAUUAAAUAGAGACAGAAAUUUUCUCGUCAAAUCAUUCAUACAAGUUUUCAAUUAAAAAACUAAUUAUCACGCUACCUUUGCACAGUCAAAAUACUGCGGCUAUUUAAAUUCUCAUUGAGCAGAUUAGACCUUAAAUUAAUAUCAAAAGGACAUGUUUUUGUUAAACAGGCGAAAAAUUAUAUUGCCGAAUUCCUUUACUUAACCUAAAAUAAUAUUAACAAAAUAAAUAAUUAUAUUACUAAUUUAAUCAUAAUUACAAAUAAUAUUAGAAUUAAAUAAUUAAUUUAAUAUAAAAUUUAAAUUAAAAAUAAAUCUUAAAUUUUUAUACAUAACUAUUAAAUUAUAAAUGAUUAACAAUUAAAAUUAUACAAAAUAUAAAAUACUAUUUUUAUUAUAAAUUUCUAAUCAAAAGCUUAUCCCAUUGAAUAUUUAAUAUUAAAACUUAAAAAUUAAUAAAUAAAAUUUAAAAAAUAAUAUUAAGAAUUAAAUUCUUUUCUUAAAAAACUAGGUAUCACUAAAAUCGAAUUGCAUUUCACUUCAAAUUAAUUUAUUAUAAAAAUUUUUUAUACGAUUAAAUAAAUAACUAAUUAACUCUUUUAGAUUCGAGAAAAAUAAAUAAUUAACUUAAAAUUAAUCAACCCUGAUGCACAAGG